RNAcentral lists this long non-coding RNA (230 nucleotides) under Musa acuminata (dwarf banana). RNAcentral's name for it is "long non-coding RNA (MACU_LNC010749)". The record is from RNAcentral. Lineage: Eukaryota; Viridiplantae; Streptophyta; Magnoliopsida; Zingiberales; Musaceae.
CAGGCACUUCUGAAUAAACUACCUACAAUAGACAAUAUGAAAAGAAGAGGUAUCCAUCAUGUUAACCGAUGCUCCCUUUGCAUGCAACAAGAAGAAACUGUUGACCAUCUCUAUUUUGCUUGUGACUAUACUAAAUGGAUAUGGAAGGAGAUUCUCCAGCGAUUCGAACUCAAUAGAAUGCCGCAACCAAACUUGCAUCAAGAAUUAUCUGACCUCAUGCAAUGUUUUCC